RNAcentral lists this ribosomal RNA (433 nucleotides) under uncultured bacterium. RNAcentral describes it as "partial 16S ribosomal RNA". It matches the Rfam family "Bacterial small subunit ribosomal RNA", at positions 29 to 507 of the family's 1533-position model. The record is from RNAcentral.
AACGAACGCUGGCGGCAUGCCUAACACAUGCAAGUCGAACGAGACCUUCGGGUCUAGUGGCGCACGGGUGCGUAACGCGUGGGAACCUGCCCUUAGGUUCGGAAUAACUCCCCGAAAGGGGUGCUAAUACCGGAUAAUGUCUGCGGACCAAAGAUUUAUCGCCUUUGGAUGGGCCCGCGUUGGAUUAGCUAGUUGGUAGGGUAAAAGCCUACCAAGGCGACGAUCCAUAGCUGGUCUGAGAGGAUGAUCAGCCACACUGGGACUGAGACACGGCCCAGACUCCUACGGGAGGCAGCAGUGGGGAAUAUUGGACAAUGGGCGAAAGCCUGAUGCAGCAAUGCCGCGUGAGUGAUGAAGGCCUUAGGGUUGUAAAGCUCUUUUACCCGGGAUGAUAAUGACAGUACCGGGAGAAUAAGCUCCGGCUAACUCCGUG